CCAUUUCUGGGCUCAGUUGUACAUCUCUGCCCUAGCUGGCUGGUCACUGGGAAGAGUACUCUAGGGCGGCCCCAACCAAGACGACCCAGUGCUGCUCCAUGUGAACUCUCAUCCUGCAGCAGACCCAUCUGGAAGGUUAUCAGAGUACAGGCAGAGGUCCAAAUGAAAGCUAGAAGAACCCGCAUGACAGCAAGCAGAAGGGAACAAGGCCUCCAGGGGCCAGGCUCAGAGUGACACACAUAUAUUCAUGCACCAUUCUGUCCUCCAAGCCUAAUUCACAGGAUUUUAAUGGGACACAUCUAGCACAGCAUUUCCCAAACUGGAUUCCUUAAAUCUCUAGUCUCCAGAGACGUUACUCAGUUUGAGCUGGGCACAUGGGCAUAUCCAACACCCGGAUGACAGAGAUGCACAUGAAAGGAACCAGGAUCCUUUUAUGACAUUGAAGGAUCAGCUGCCAGUCCUCGCUGGACUACUGAACUCAGGACUCCUGAGAACCAAAGUCGUUUGUCUUACAUUGGUCAUUGUAUCCUGGUGGUUUAGCAGAGGCUGGUACCUUAAUAAUGCAUCAUCCUUAUCCUAUAAAAAAUUUCUAUAGGAACUGGGUAUAUUUCUGGAAAUUAAUAUUUGUUCCAUUGAUUUAUCUCUUUAUUCAUGGACAUGUGACAUAUUUUUUAACUUGUGAUAGC
Molecule: long non-coding RNA, 686 nt
Filed under: Equus caballus (horse)
Lineage: Eukaryota; Metazoa; Chordata; Mammalia; Perissodactyla; Equidae
Description: lncRNA (ENSECAG00000056782.1)
Source: RNAcentral